Molecule: transfer RNA, 73 nt
Filed under: Mesocestoides corti
Lineage: Eukaryota; Metazoa; Platyhelminthes; Cestoda; Cyclophyllidea; Mesocestoididae
Rfam family: tRNA
About the family: Transfer RNA (tRNA) molecules are approximately 80 nucleotides in length. Their secondary structure includes four short double-helical elements and three loops (D, anti-codon, and T loops).
Source: Rfam by way of RNAcentral
GACGCGGUGGCCGAGUGGUUAAGGCGAUGGACUGCUAAUCCAUUGGGGUUUCCCCGCGUGAGUUCGAAUCUCA